Acanthaster planci (crown-of-thorns starfish) is the source of this 1766-nucleotide long non-coding RNA. RefSeq lists it as uncharacterized. The record is from RefSeq and is a predicted model, not a curated record. NCBI's taxonomy places the organism in Eukaryota, Metazoa, Echinodermata, Asteroidea, Valvatida, Acanthasteridae.
GCACCGCCUUCCCGACUCUUUGCAGACAUCUCACCAGAACUGAGUGACGAGGUAAAGAAAACACUGAGAGAUAUCAUUUCACCUUGAUGAUAGAAGGCAGAUGGGGAAUGGCUUCUAACCUCAGGAGUCUCGGGCUCAUCGGGAGAGCUCUGGAUAAAGAUGUGCCACUUCAGCUUGAGCACCCUGCGCGGUUUGGGUGUCGGUAAAUCGAUCUUCGAAGAACAGAUCGGAACAGAGGCAGAGGAGUUGAUUCAAGCAAUGGCAGCCUUCAACGGCAAACCUUUCAACCCGAAGCCCCAUCUGGCCGGCGCAGUGUCCAACGUCAUCUGCUCCGUCACCUUCGGUCAGCGCUACCAGUACGAUGGCCAAGACUUCCAACGACUCCUAGCCUUGGAGAGCAGCCUCGUCUUAAACUUGGGAAUAGGCGCGGGUUCUUCUUUUUUCGGCCAUGUGGGUGCUAGGCUACCGUUCCUGAGAUCCGAGCUCCAACGACUGGAAACCGAUCACAAUCAAAUCCUGGGGUGAUAUUUAUGAUACAGAUGUACAAUCUAUAACACGUAUUACUUUUUUGCAGAAUUUUACAUGAGAACGGCAUAUUUGGCUUUUAAAAAUAUUUUUGACUACUGUUGAACAAAUUUUGGUCUUUCGGAAGUUUGUGAUAUUCAUAACAAUCCGCCUGGGCAAAAGAGGGGGGGGUAUAUACCCCCACCACCCAAGAAUUUAAGCCCAUGGCUCCGUGAAUCUGAUAUUGAACACGUUAAAUUAUAUUGGAUAUCGUCAUCUUUUGUCCACUCCUGCCUACGUACUGCUGGUGGUAUUCCGGUUAAUUCACUAGUAACGUAUCAAGGUUUGGAGUUGUGAGUUUUAUGAAACUUGGUUGUGAGAGAUUUGGGUGUCUUAUAGGAUUAUUGUAGACCACUUUAAUUUUGCCAAUUUGUAUGGGCGGCCAAGGUUUGCAUUUGCAAAGUUGAUUUAACCUCAAAUUGUUCAAAAUUUGUCCCAUUGGUAUUUUGUAGUACAUGUAUUAUUAUCUGGUGUUCUUAAAGCAGCGUAUAUUGUUUUAAUUUUGUACCGACUGCCGCCCUUAGUUUUAGCAGCUACUUGUAAGAAAAGCACAAAUGUGACGUCAAAAAAACAGACCUAUAGCAGUGAAAUUGUCGGCUCGCAUGGUUGUUUUUCUCCCAGAACAAUGAUAUAUACCGAAUAUUUGACCGUUUAAAAUAAACAAAAGUUGUGAAGACGAAGAUUACAAGGCUAUAAUAAGCUGUGCAAACUUCUAUGUACUUACUUAAAGGAUAAAUUUAAUUGACCUCAAACUUCAAAAGUGUAAUUGUAUAAGGAGUACCUCUAUACAUCUAUCAAGUUUUUGAAAAUUGAGCAUGGUACAGCCGAGUUCAAAGGGGGACGGCGGAGUCCACCUCAACCCAGCUUAAGAGUGGCCAAAAUAACCCGGCUCUUUAAAAAAAAAAAUUAGUGAACUAGUUUUGUGUAAAACCGAUCCCUGGAUGUGGCUUGCUUACCAGUUCAUAUGACUACGGGAAAUGAGUGGUACGAGAAGAUAAGGGUUAAAAUGCCUUUUGGACAAGAUGAAAGUCUAGAAGAGCCAAAAAUAACCAUUGGCGACCGUGUGAUCUGCUUUUCAAAUGUUGUAGCUGCUUUUAUGGAAAUCGACCGUAUUAAUUUAAAUUUACCGGUGAUCGUUUUCGAAUCAUCAUUUUUCUGCAAACUGUAUAGAAUGUUUUGUAGUUCGAAUAAAUCAAAUGAAA